AUCCAGCUAACGAGUUCUAAACAGGACGAAACGCGUGUCCUGGAU
Non-coding RNA from Schistosoma mattheei, 45 nucleotides. The record is from Rfam. NCBI's taxonomy places the organism in Eukaryota, Metazoa, Platyhelminthes, Trematoda, Strigeidida, Schistosomatidae.